GCUGGUCUGAGAGGAUGAUCAGCCACACUGGGACUGAGACACGGCACAGACUCCUACGGGAGGCAGCAGUGGGGAAUUUUGGACAAUGGGGGCAACCCUGAUCCAGCCAUGCCGCGUGAGUGAAGAAGGCCUUCGGGUUGUAAAGCUCUUUCGGACGGAACGAAAUGGUUACGGUCAACACCCGUGACUGAUGACGGUACCGUAAGAAGAAGCACCGGCUAACUACGUGCCAGCAGCCGCGGUAAUACGUAGGGUGCGAGCGUUAAUCGGAAUUACUGGGCGUAAAGCGUGCGCAGGCGGUUUCGUAAGCUGGAGGUGAAAUCCCCGGGCUCAACCUGGGAAUGGCCUUCAGGACUGCGAGGCUAGAGUGCGGCAGAGGGAGGUGGAAUUCCACGUGUAGCAGUGAAAUGCGUAGAUAUGUGGAGGAACACCGAUGGCGAAGGCAGCCUCCUGGGCCAGCACUGACGCUCAUGCACGAAAGCGUGGGGAGCAAACAGGAUUAGAUACCCUGGUAGUCCACGCCCUAAACGAUGUCAACUAGGUGUUGGGGAAGGUGACUUCCUUAGUACCGCAGCUAACGCGUGAAGUUGACCGCCUGGGGAGUACGGCCGCAAGGUUAAAACUCAAAGGAAUUGACGGGGACCCGCACGAGCGGUGGAUGAUGUGGAUUAAUUCGAUGCAACGCGAAAAACCUUACCUACCCUUGACAUGCCAGGAACUCUGCUGAGAGGUGGAGGUGCCCGAAAGGGAGCCUGGACACAGGUGCUGCAUGGCUGUCGUCAGCUCGUGUCGUGAGAUGUUGGGUUAAGUCCCGCAACGAGCGCAACCCUUGUCGUUAAUUGCCAUCAUUUAGUUGGGCACUUUAGCGAGACUGCCGGUGACAAACCGGAGGAAGGUGGGGAUGACGUCAAGUCCUCAUGGCCCUUAUGGGUAGGGCUUCACACGUCAUACAAUGGCGCAUACAGAGGGUUGCGAAGCCGCGAGGUGAAGCCAAUCCCAGAAAGUGCGUCGUAGUCCGGAUUGCAGUCUGCAACUCGACUGCAUGAAGUCGGAAUCGCUAGUAAUCGCGGAUCAGCAUGUCGCGGUGAAUACGUUCCCGGGUCUUGUACACACCGCCCGUCACACCAUGGGAGUGGGUUCCACCAGAAGCAGGUAGCCUAACCGCAAGGGGGGCGCCUACCACGGUGAGAUUCAUGACUGGGGUGAAGUCGUAACAAGGUA
Molecule: ribosomal RNA, 1221 nt
Filed under: metagenome
Description: bacterial SSU rRNA
Rfam family: Bacterial small subunit ribosomal RNA
Source: RNAcentral